UAUUCUUCUCGGGAUUGGUGGUUAAAAAAGAAAAAAAAGAAAAAAAGAAAAGAAAAAAAGGAAAAUCUCACCACAGAGCUCUCAAUUCCUCUAUAAAUAUGAGGCUCUUCUUCUUCUUCCCCUAAAACCUAACUCUCUAUUUCUCCCCUCUUUCUCUCUCUAGGGUUCGAUACCCUAAUUUCUUUCCUUUUUCAGUUGCUGUUCCUAUGGCGGUUCUCACAAAUAAUGCCUCUGUUUGUAUUCUUCCACAGCUUUCUUGAACUGCAUCAUUCCUGAGCCCAAAUUCGCUCUCAAUUUCCCUCUCUCUCUCUCUCUCUCUCUCUCAAAGCGUUUUUUGUUCAUUAAUCUCUUGCGGUUCAAUAAAGCUGUGGGAAGAUACAGACAGGGUCAAAUCAAUUUCAUAAUUCUUCAAUUAUCUUCAAAUCGCUGGCUGCUAUCGGUAUAUAUUUCUUCAAUUUCUUCAAUUAUAUUUAUAUAUGAUUGAUGAAUUUCCCUUUAUUUUGUGAUUUUCCUUUUCAGAAACGGUAAAUUGAUUUUAGGUCAUUUUCUUCCUGAAUUUACUCCGAGGAAUAUGUGAGGAUCAAAGUCAAAAAGAGGGUUUGGAUUAUUUGUUUGUCUGAGUUUUGAUGGAAAAAAGGGUGAAGAUUUCUUGUGCUUUGUGAGAGGUUAGAAAUUCGAAAAAUUGAGAUUAGCGAAGUAAAUUAAUUAAAAUGGUUUAAUUAGAACAGCAAGUUCCUCGGUGUUAACGCAUAAUUCCUUGUCUCCUUUUGUCAUUUUAUACUUAAAAAAAAAAGAGAGAAUUAAAAAAAGAGAACAGCAAGUUUUAUUCUUCUCUUUCCAAAUUUGAGAAUUAAAAAAAACAUGUUUUAGUUCACAAUUUUAUUAUACUUUUUUCAAGUAUAAUUUAAAUUGAUAUUCUGCAUAAUAACAUUGUUGAACAAUUGAAUAUGAUGAUGAUAUUUAUUCAUUUAUUCAUUGUUUAUCUCACACAUUCUCUACUUGACUUUAAAAACCUUUAUUAGGUCACCAAAAAGAUAUUUCCUUUGUACCUUACUCAAAUAAAAGGAAAAAUCCACUGAAUAUGGUUUAUAAUAAAGCCACACUACCAUUUUGUCUUACACUUAAAAGUACUAUGUAUUGAAGAGAUUCAAAAUUAGUGUAUACUGAUAUGACCAAAUUACAUAUUUCAACACAUUAGAUUUACGUUUAAGUACAUCCAAAAUUUCAGUUGUAUCAAAAUCAAGUACUCAUAAGCACAGUCAAAUCACAUUUUGAAUGAGAGGAAGGGAAAGAGGGAGUUGUUUGAAGCAAAGGAAAAGACAAAAUGAAAGUUAAAAAAAAAAUGAUGUGAAAAGGAGGAGAGAGAUAAUGUUGAUACAAAAUGAAAAAGAAAGAAAAGAAAAUUCAAUUUAUACCUUGAAAUUUUGAGUUGUAUUAAUUAAGAUAAAUAAUUAUUAAUUAAAUUAAUUUUAAUUCUAAAUUUUUAUGAUUCUAUUGAAUUAACAAGAGGAAUCAUCAUAUGAUAAAAAAGAAAAAAAUAUAUGAGUGGAUGAAAAAUCACUACUAUCCGUUUCAAUCAAAUAUCUCUCGCUUAAAAAAGUUUUACGUACGUAUGAAAUAUAUUAACGGCUGUAAAAUAAAAUAUUAACGGAGAGUUCUGAUUUAAAAAAAAAAAAAAAAUUAGGAGAGAGGAGACAGUAUUUGUACUUCGUGGGAGUACAAAAAUACCAAAUUGCAAUAAAAUUUCUAAAUAAAUGAAUAAAGUUUGGCAUACAUGGUAACAAAUGUAAAUAAAUUAUUCCUAGAAAAUUACAAAUAAAUGUAAAUAAAUCAAUUGAUUAUUGAUUAAAGAAAAAGAAAAGUAAUAUUGUCCAGAUUUUGACCCCCUUCCUGCGCCAGCCGCUUGUUUACUGCUUUGUAUAAAUACCACCAAUUAUCAAUAUCGACAUCAGCUUUCUCUCACUUUUCAACCUAUUAUUUAGGUUUGAACUCGUGAACUGAACCAAACCGAAUCGAUUUGAACGAAACUAUUUGUUGACAAAAUGCCAAUGAAUACUCUCUGCUGGAAGAAGAUAGAGACAGAAAAAAGAGUAGAGCCUACCUAGCUACCUAACCUAAUAUAAUACAUUAAAUUGAAGAAAAAUUAUCAUGAACUAAACUAAAUUACACGAGUAUGAAAUCUAUUAAACCCAAUUGUUUCUUGGUUUAAUUUGAAUUAUGAUGAGUGAAAAAUGGUGAAAGGUGGGUAAAAAGAUAUAGAGUGAGAUACAGAAGGGAGAAAGAGUGAAAGACAGACAGUGGUUAAAAAAAGGGUAGUGGGUCAAAUAUUGACAAAAUUAGACCUUUUUCACAGAAAUGUAGGAGCAUAUAAGGGGGGGAAAAUAAAAUUAAAAUAUUAACAAAAAUUGUUUACAUAUAUAAUUUUUUUUUUUUUUUUUUUUUUUUUUUUUAUAAAAAAAGUGGCAGUGGCAGAACUGAGAGAGGGCAGAAGCAGUCUACUCUACAUGAAGAUCAGUAUCAUGAUUGAAGAUAAAAAAGAAAAGUUGGGGAAUCUUCUCUGCAGAGUAAUUCCCUUUUCACCCUAUUUUAAUUUUAAUUUUUAUUGAAUGAAUCUCCAAUUAAUCUUCUCUCAACAUUAAGGUACUAAAAGUAAUAUUUAAGUUUCAUGUAAAUCCAUACUCACAUGAAAAAUAAUUUUUUACUGCACAAUAGAUAGAUGGUCAUUUGAAAAUUAAAAUUCUCCAUUGUUUAAUUAAUUAAUUACAUGUAUUAAUAAAAGCUCUCUCCCCAUGCAUGGUUCAAACGUGUUGCAGUACCUAAACAAAAGUUACAAAUUUGAAUAAUUCCUUCCUCAACUCUUUUCUUUUCGUUCUUCAUCCUUGUCUCUUGACUUUAAAAAUAUAUAUAUAUAUAUAUAUAUAUAUAUAUAUAUAUAAUGGAGAAAUGCAGAAAAUGAAGAUAAAAAAGAGCAGGAAGGAAAAAUAUAUAAAAAGAAAAUUAUAAUACCUGGAGGGAAGAAAUUUAGGUAAUGAGAAUUGAGAGAAGAAAGAAGCUUGAAAGUGUCAUGAUUUCCCACAGCUUUCUUGAGCUUCAAAAUUUAUUCGAAAAUUAAAAAGGAAGAAGUUCAAGAAAGCUGUGGAAAAACAUGGCCAGCUCCUAAUUUGCGACACACACAGAUCCAACAACCCAGCCUUCUUCAGAUCUUAACUUAACCAAGAAAAUUUUUGGGGCUGAGAAAUUAAAUGAAAUGACUACGCUGCCACUGCUGCUUCUUAUUGCAAACUUUCUAAAGGACCACUCUACCAUAUAUAACCCUCUCCCCAUCAACUUUUUUUUUUUUUUUUUUAAUAAAUAAAAAUUCCUUUACUUUCCCCUUGUGAGUGCGCAGUGGGGUACAAUUUUAAACCCCAAAAGAAAAGAAAAAAGAACAAAAAGAUUAUGGUAAUAAUAAUGGAGUUAAUUUUUUGUUUGAAGCAAGGGGUAAAAAUGAAUACGUUAUGAUAUGGAUGUAAUUUUCAGAAUUAACCAUAAGCUUGGCUGGCCCUCACAUGCAGCCAUGUGAUGAAGAUCCCUUUUCAUUUUAAUGGGAUUUUAAGAUUUGGAGGCAGAUC
Non-coding RNA from Benincasa hispida (wax gourd), 3611 nucleotides. Lineage: Eukaryota; Viridiplantae; Streptophyta; Magnoliopsida; Cucurbitales; Cucurbitaceae. The record is from RefSeq and is a predicted model, not a curated record.